GACGAACGCUGGCGGCGUGCUUAACACAUGCAAGUCGAACGGAAAGGCCCUGCUUUUGUGGGGUGCUCGAGUGGCGAACGGGUGAGUAACACGUGAGUAACCUGCCCUUGACUUUGGGAUAACUUCAGGAAACUGGGGCUAAUACCGGAUAGGAGCUCCUGCUGCAUGGUGGGGGUUGGAAAGUUUCGGCGGUUGGGGAUGGACUCGCGGCUUAUCAGCUUGUUGGUGGGGUAGUGGCUUACCAAGGCUUUGCCGGGUAGCCGGCCUGAGAGGGUGACCGGCCACAUUGGGACUGAGAUACGGCCCAGACUGCUACGGGAGGCAGCAGUGGGGAAUAUUGCACAAUGGGCGGAAGCCUGAUGCAGCAACGCCGCGUGCGGGAUGACGGCCUGCGGGUUGUAAACCGCUUUCGCCUGUGACGAAGCGUGAGUGACGGUAAUGGGUAAAGAAGCACCGGCUAACUACGUG
Molecule: ribosomal RNA, 468 nt
Filed under: uncultured bacterium
Lineage: Bacteria
Description: partial 16S ribosomal RNA
Rfam family: Bacterial small subunit ribosomal RNA
Source: RNAcentral